GACGAACGCUGGCGGCGUGCCUAAUAUAUGCAAGUAGAACGCUGAAGCUUGGUGCUUGCACCGAGCGGAUGAGUUGCGAACGGGUGAGUAACGCGUAGGUAACCUGCCUGGUAGCGGGGGAUAACUAUUGGAAACGAUAGCUAAUACCGCAUAAGAGUAGAUGUUGCAUGACAUUUGCUUAAAAGGUGCAAUUGCAUCACUACCAGAUGGACCUGCGUUGUAUUAGCUAGUUGGUGAGGUAACGGCCCACCAAGGCAACGAUACAUAGCCGACCUGAGAGGGUGAUCGGCCACACUGGGACUGAGACACGGCCCAGACUCCUACGGGAGGCAGCAGUAGGGAAUCUUCGGCAAUGGACGGAAGUCUGACCGAGCAACGCCGCGUGAGUGAAGAAGGUUUUCGGAUCGUAAAGCUCUGUUGUAAGAGAAGAACGAGUGUGAGAGUGGAAAGUUCACACUGUGACGGUAUCUUACCAGAAAGGGACGGCUAACUACGUG
This 497-nucleotide ribosomal RNA is filed under the name uncultured bacterium. RNAcentral describes it as "partial 16S ribosomal RNA". It matches the Rfam family "Bacterial small subunit ribosomal RNA", at positions 28 to 507 of the family's 1533-position model. The record is from RNAcentral.